UGGGGGGCAGGGUAGACGAGUGGCGGAAACCCUUAGGCUCAGAGAAGCAUCGAGAACCGGAAGGAGACCAUGGGAGGAAGGUAAAACAAGCAGCCGCUGCGCGACCCAGCCCCACGCCCCUCCCCACAGCGUCUCCCAGUUUCCUCACUUGGUAUUGAGGCGACGGCUCUCGCGAGAACUUCGUGGCUGACUAACCGAAGCAGUAGCUCUGCAAUGACUUAAGAGCAGUUUUGGGCGCUUUUCCUCUCGGGGUCCCGCCCCCAAAAUCCACAAAUUCUCGCGAGACGCAGUGAGGCACCGGCUCCAACUGGGGCGGGCUACUGCCAGGAAAGCACCGCCCCUGAAUGUUUCAGCCGGUGGUUGGAAGAGGAAAUGGAAUUCCCCGGACUGCACCUGUUGAUUUGUGCUGGUACCUGGAAGAGAUGUAACACCUGAUCAUGGGACAUCAAGUGACUGUGUGAAUCAAAUUGCGCAUCAUGAAUUGGUGUUGACUCACCAAACUGUACAACUGAAUGAGCACACGAACAGUGCACUACAUAUGGGACUGGAACCAUGAAUGAGCCAGUGACUAGACUGCUAUAGUACCUGCCUCUAUUCCUUCAACACUUCUCCCUCAAUGCACAUAGAUUGUCAUCAUAAGGAGUUCCCUCUGACCAGUUAAUGGAAGAGAAAAAAGUAUGGAUCUUGUGGAUAUCCUAACAAAUCUCUGGCCAUUGGACCCCUAGAAACCUGUGGCAAGUCCUGGAAGUUUUUCAAGGACCUUUCUUACCAAAACAUGUAGAAUGCUGCCUACUUCUGCUCAUCAGUUUUAUUUAAUAUAAUUUCAUUACUAUAAUGGAUCAGUGUGAUAUUCUAUGGAAUAACAAGAUCAUCAAGGUCCCUUCAUACCAGAUAGAGAACAGGAGAGUUGAUGUAGCCUGAGACAAGACAGUAAGGACUUACUGUUGUCCUUCCUAGAGACACAUGUGAUGAACUCUUGGGACAUGUUUCACUACUUGUGGAUCCUAGUAUUUCCUUGCUCAAUAUUCAAAAGAAAUAGGUCUGGUAUCUCUAGGAGUAUCAAAUGAAGAUGUACAGAAACUAUACAUGCAUCUACAGACGUCAAAGGCCCCACAGUAGGGCCACCUUCACACCAGAUUACAAGAGCCUCGGCACCCGCCCGUUCCCGUGUACGUCACUCGUCCGCCGCCAAU
Saimiri boliviensis boliviensis (Bolivian squirrel monkey) is the source of this 1193-nucleotide non-coding RNA. Lineage: Eukaryota; Metazoa; Chordata; Mammalia; Primates; Cebidae. The record is from RefSeq and is a predicted model, not a curated record.